This 253-nucleotide ribosomal RNA is filed under the name uncultured bacterium. RNAcentral's name for it is "partial 16S ribosomal RNA". It matches the Rfam family "Bacterial small subunit ribosomal RNA", at positions 524 to 776 of the family's 1533-position model. The record is from RNAcentral.
UACGGAGGGUGCAAGCGUUAUCCGGAUUCACUGGGUUUAAAGGGUGCGUAGGCGGACAGGUAAGUCAGUGGUGAAAUCUCCGAGCUUAACUCGGAAACUGCCUUUGAUACUCUCUGUUUUGAAUAUGGUGGAGGUAAGCGGAAUAUGUCAUGUAGCGGUGAAAUGCUUAGAUAUGACAUAGAACACCAAUUGCGAAGGCAGCUUACUAAAGGAAUAUUGACACUGAUGCACGAAAGCGUGGAGAUCAAACAGG